Molecule: ribosomal RNA, 253 nt
Filed under: uncultured bacterium
Lineage: Bacteria
Description: partial 16S ribosomal RNA
Rfam family: Bacterial small subunit ribosomal RNA
Source: RNAcentral
UACAGAGGGUGCGAGCGUUGUCCGGAUUUAUUGGGCGUAAAGAGCGUGUAGGCGGCCAUACAGGUCCGUUGUGAAAACUGGAGGCUUAACCUCCAGACGUCGAUGGAAACCGUAUGGCUAGAGUCCGGAAGAGGAGAGUGGAAUUCCUGGUGUAGCGGUGAAAUGCGCAGAUAUCAGGAGGAACACCGAUGGCGAAGGCAGCUCGCUGGGACGGUACUGACGCUGAGGCGCGAAAGCGUGGGGAGCAAACAGG